Long non-coding RNA from Portunus trituberculatus (swimming crab), 404 nucleotides. RefSeq lists it as uncharacterized. NCBI's taxonomy places the organism in Eukaryota, Metazoa, Arthropoda, Malacostraca, Decapoda, Portunidae. The record is from RefSeq and is a predicted model, not a curated record. The transcript has 3 exons.
GCCAGUGCUAUACCUCCCUUGUUUCUCAAUUAUCUGUGUUUCCUAGCCCCCUGAGGCGUCCCCCGUGGCUGUACCUUUGUGUCCGUCUACCUGAGUGUACCUGGCGCCUAGCACUCCCCUGGGAAUCCACCCCGCGGCCUGGAAAUAAGGGAAUGCAAGGCUCUCGGGACAAAGGGACACAGAGACUAAGGGUGCAAAUGUGACGAGAAACAGUUGUGACGCGCCGGACAGAACCAGCCCAGCCCAGCACCACCACUAAGGUAAAUUCCCCACAUUUCACUAACCUUUAAUUCUGUAAUCCGGCAAAUUCUGUAAUCCGGAAUUAUUUUAACCCCUUCAGUACUGGGUCGCAUUUUUACCUUGAGAUUUGUGUACGAUUAGGCCAUUUUAUUGACAUUAGGAAG